CCUACGGGUGGCAGCAGUGGGGAAUAUUGCGCAAUGGGCGAAAGCCUGACGCAGCGACGCCGCGUGAGGGAUGAAGGUCUUCCGGUCGUAAAGUUCUUUUGACAGGGAAGAAAAUUCCUAUAAGUAACUGUUUAUGUAUUGACGUUACCUGAAGGAAAAGCAUCGGCAAACCCCGUGCCCGCAGCCGCGGUAAUACGGGGGAGGCGAGGGUUAUCGGGAUGUAUUGGGUUUAAAGGGUGUGCAGGCGGCCAGUUAAGUCAGCGGUAAAAGGCCGGGGCCCAACCCAGGCGAGCCGUUGAAACUGGCGGGCUGGAGUUGGAGAGAGGUACGCGGAAUGCGCGGUGUAGCGGUGAAAUGCUUAGAUAUCGCGCAGAACCCCGAUUGCGAAGGCAGCGUACCGGCUCGACACUGACGCUGAGGCACGAAAGCGUGGGUAUCGAACAGGAUUAGAUACCCGAGUAGUC
This 464-nucleotide ribosomal RNA is filed under the name uncultured bacterium. RNAcentral's name for it is "partial 16S ribosomal RNA". It matches the Rfam family "Bacterial small subunit ribosomal RNA", at positions 338 to 795 of the family's 1533-position model. The record is from RNAcentral.